UACAGAGGAGCCAAGCGUUGUCCGGAUUGACUGGGCGUAAAGCGCACGCAGGCGGUUGCGCGCGUGGGGUGUGAAAUCUGGCCGCUUAACGGCCAGGCGCCAUCCCAUACGGCGCGACUGGAGUGAUGCAGAGGUCGAUGGAAUUGCCGGUGUAGUGGUGAAAUGCGUAGAGAUCGGCAGGAACACCCAGGGGGGAAACCAGUCGACUGGGCAUCUACUGACGCUGAGGUGCGAGAGCGUGGGGGAGCGAACCGG
This 255-nucleotide ribosomal RNA is filed under the name uncultured bacterium. RNAcentral's name for it is "partial 16S ribosomal RNA". It matches the Rfam family "Bacterial small subunit ribosomal RNA", at positions 524 to 776 of the family's 1533-position model. The record is from RNAcentral.